Molecule: ribosomal RNA, 1184 nt
Filed under: marine metagenome
Description: bacterial LSU rRNA
Rfam family: Bacterial large subunit ribosomal RNA
Source: RNAcentral
CGAGGCAAGCGCUGAAUACUAAGUGGAUAACUAACCAGUAAGACUACGAGGGAUAAGCUUCAUAGUCAAGAGGGAAACAGCCCAGACCACCAGCUAAGGCCCCUAAAUAAUUGCUAAGUGAUAAAGGUGGUGGAAAGGCUUUAACAACCAGGAGGUUUGCUUAGAAGCAGCAAUCCUUUAAAGAGUGCGUAAUAGCUCACUGAUCGAGUAAACCUGCGCCGAAAAUGUACGGGACUAAGUAAUUUGCCGAAACUGUGCGAUAUAUUUGAAAUAUAUCGGUAGGGGAGCGUUCUGUUGUAGAUUGAAGUAUUAGCGUAAGCGGAUAUGGACGAAGCAGAAGUGAGAAUGUCGGCUUGAGUAACGAAAAUAUAGGUGAGAAUCCUAUACCCCGAAAACCCAAGGUUUCCUCCGGAAGGUUCGUCCGCGGAGGGUAAGUCAGGACCUAAGGCGAGGCUGAAAAGCGUAGUCGAUGGACAACGGGUUAAUAUUCCCGUACCAUUAUUUGUUGAUAUCGAGGGACGGAGAAGGCUAAGCUGGCCGGAUAUUGGUUACCGGUUUAAACGUUCGAGAUGAUGAGAAACGGCGAAAACGUUUUGAGUUGAGGCGUGAAUACGAGAUGCUACGGCGUCGAAGCUGUGUAUGUCAUACUUCCAAGAAAAGCUUGCACUGUCAUAAACAAAUAAUGCCUGUACCAUAACCGACACAGGUGGGUAGGUAGAGUAUACUAAGGGGCGCGAGAUAACUCUCUCUAAGGAACUCGGCAAAAUGACUCCGUAACUUCGGGAGAAGGAGUGCCUUAUUUAUAAGGUUGCAAUAACAAGACCCAAGCAACUGUUUAUCAAAAACACAGGUCUCCGCUAAGUCGUAAGACGAUGUAUGGGGGCUGACGCCUGCCCAGUGCCAGAAGGUUAAAGAAGUUGGUUAGCGUAAGCGAAGCUGAUGACUGAAGCCCUGGUGAACGGCGGCCGUAACUAUAACGGUCCUAAGGUAGCGAAAUUCCUUGUCGGGUAAGUUCCGACCCGCACGAAAGGCGUAAUGAUUUGGGUACUGUCUCGGAGAGGGGCUCGGUGAAAUAGACUUGUCUGUGAAGAUGCGGACUACCUGCACCUGGACAGAAAGACCCUAUGAAGCUUUACUGUAACCUGAAAUUGAAAUUGGACUUUAUUUGCGCAGUAUAGGUGGGA